This is a long non-coding RNA of Anopheles merus, 589 nucleotides long. RefSeq lists it as uncharacterized. The transcript is spliced from 2 exons. The record is from RefSeq and is a predicted model, not a curated record. NCBI's taxonomy places the organism in Eukaryota, Metazoa, Arthropoda, Insecta, Diptera, Culicidae.
CCUGCCGAAGUUUGUAGUAGGCUUUGAGGGUGCAAAGGACAUCUGCGCUGGCAGUGUUUCAUUGUACCCCAGUUAAAGUAGAAUUAAGUGUGCUCCAGGAAUUUACUUUAACAUAUUUUUCUGCCCACAAUCUCCCAGUGCCGUGGAGUGUCCCAGUGAUUGGAGUAGGUAAAAGUCCUUACCGGAACACGUACCCAAAGAGGAGAAAAAAACGCAAACAGGCCGGGUCCGGGCUCUUGCCCCAAGAAAGGUCACUAAAGUUUCAGUGCUCGUAAAAGCUGCAACCGUAAUAAUGUUCCCGUUUGUAGCUGGAGCGUCUGAUGAGCGCCAAGGAAUGUUAUACGGGCCUCAGGAACGGUCGCGUACCGAGUUUACUACCUCAAGAUGUUUCUGUUCCGGCAUUUUGUUUUUUUUUUUGGAAACAUUGCAAAGGACUUAAGAACGGGUCAGUAACGAAUGGCGGAAAAACAAAAUCGAAGACACUGGCGAUGAUGCUCCAGCGUUUCGGGGUAGGGCUGGAGUAGAAGUCAUCUUCCUCGGUGGACUCUCGGUUAAAGUUCGUGACAAAAUAAACGUUCCUCAUUACGCA